GGCGGCGUGCCUAACACAUGCAAGUCGAGCGGGGACAUGCGACGGAAGACAAAGUACUCGUACGGAGUCAAAGAUGUAUGUUCUAGCGGCGGACGGGUGAGUAACGCGUGAGCAACCUGUCCCUUACAGGGGGAUAACACAGCGAAAGUUGUACUAAUACCGCAUGAGACCACGGGAUGACAUCGUCCAGGGGUCAAAGGAGCAAUCCGGUAAGGGGUGGGCUCGCGUCCGAUUAGAUAGUUGGUGAGGUAACGGCCCACCAAGUCGACGAUCGGUAGCCGACCUGAGAGGGUGAUCGGCCACAUUGGGACUGAGACACGGCCCAAACUCCUACGGGAGGCAGCAGUGGGGAAUAUUGGGCAAUGGGGGGAACCCUGACCCAGCAACGCCGCGUGAGGGAAGAAGGUUUUCGGAUCGUAAACCUCUGUCCCAGGUGAAGAGGAAGAGACGGUAGCCUGGGAGGAAGCCCCGGCUAACUACGUGCCAGCAGCAGC
RNAcentral lists this ribosomal RNA (494 nucleotides) under uncultured bacterium. Its description in RNAcentral is "bacterial SSU rRNA". It matches the Rfam family "Bacterial small subunit ribosomal RNA", at positions 38 to 518 of the family's 1533-position model. The record is from RNAcentral.